This 74-nucleotide transfer RNA is filed under the name Blumeria graminis f. sp. tritici JIW2. RNAcentral describes it as "tRNA-Val (AAC) (tRNA-Val-AAC-6-1)". Lineage: Eukaryota; Fungi; Ascomycota; Leotiomycetes; Helotiales; Erysiphaceae. The record is from RNAcentral.
GGCCAGAUGUUGUAGUUUGAUAAUAUGUAUCCUCAACACGGACAAGGUCCUGAGUUCAAGCCUUAGUUCGGUCA